RNAcentral lists this ribosomal RNA (516 nucleotides) under uncultured bacterium. RNAcentral describes it as "bacterial SSU rRNA". It matches the Rfam family "Bacterial small subunit ribosomal RNA", at positions 954 to 1467 of the family's 1533-position model. The record is from RNAcentral.
AAGCUACGCGAAGAACCUUACCAGGUCUUGACAUCCCGCUGCCCGGCGUAGAGAUAUGCCUUUCCCUUCGGGGACAGCGGUGACAGGUGGUGCAUGGUUGUCGUCAGCUCGUGUCGUGAGAUGUUGGGUUAAGUCCCGCAACGAGCGCAACCCUUAACCUUAGUUGCCAGCAUUUAGUUGGGCACUCUAAGGUGACUGCCGGUGAUAAACCGGAGGAAGGUGGGGAUGACGUCAAAUCAUCAUGCCCCUUAUGACCUGGGCUACACACGUGCUACAAUGGACGGUACAGAGGGUUGCCAACCCGCGAGGGGGAGCUAAUCCCAUAAAACCGUUCCCAGUUCGGAUUGCAGGCUGCAACUCGCCUGCAUGAAGCCGGAAUCGCUAGUAAUCGUGGAUCAGCAUGCCACGGUGAAUACGUUCCCGGGUCUUGUACACACCGCCCGUCACACCACGAGAGUUUGUAACACCCGAAGUCGGUGAGGUAACCCUUUUGGGAGCCAGCCGCCGAAGGUGGGA